This is a non-coding RNA of Pluteus cervinus, 94 nucleotides long. The record is from the annotation of a GenBank genome assembly. NCBI's taxonomy places the organism in Eukaryota, Fungi, Basidiomycota, Agaricomycetes, Agaricales, Pluteaceae.
UCUCUCAUAGUACAAUGGUUUAAUACACACACUGCCUAUCUUGUUGUGGUACAAUUAUCGGUGUGAGAUCCGGGUUCGAUUCCCAGUGAGAGAU